This 57-nucleotide ribosomal RNA is filed under the name Penicillium janthinellum. RNAcentral's name for it is "partial 28S ribosomal RNA". The record is from RNAcentral. Lineage: Eukaryota; Fungi; Ascomycota; Eurotiomycetes; Eurotiales; Aspergillaceae.
ACCUCGGAUCAGGUAGGGAUACCCGCUGAACUUAAGCAUAUCAAUAAGACGGAGGAA